Molecule: ribosomal RNA, 365 nt
Filed under: uncultured bacterium
Lineage: Bacteria
Description: bacterial SSU rRNA
Rfam family: Bacterial small subunit ribosomal RNA
Source: RNAcentral
AUUGAACGCUGGCGGCAGGCCUAACACAUGCAAGUCGAGCGGGGUUUUCGGACCUAGCGGCGGACGGGUGAGUAAUGCGUAGGAAGCUACCCGACAGAGGGGGAUACCAGUUGGAAACGACUGUUAAUACCGCAUAAUGUCUACGGACCAAAGUGUGGGACCUUCGGGCCACAUGCUGUCGGAUGCGCCUACGUGGGAUUAGCUAGUUGGUGAGGUAAUGGCUCACCAAGGCGACGAUCCCUAGCUGGUUUGAGAGGAUGAUCAGCCACACUGGAACUGAGACACGGUCCAGACUCCUACGGGAGGCAGCAGUGGGGAAUAUUGGACAAUGGGCGCAAGCCUGAUCCAGCCAUGCCGCGUGUGUG